GAACGCGAAGAACCUUACCAAGGCUUAAAUGGGAAUUGACAGGUUUAGAAAUAGACUUUUCUUCGGACAAUUUUCAAGGUGCUGCAUGGUUGUCGUCAGCUCGUGCCGUGAGGUGUUAGGUUAAGUCCUGCAACGAGCGCAACCCCUGUCACUAGUUGCCAUCAUUCAGUUGGGGACUUAGUGAGACUGCCUACGCAAGUAGAGAGGAAGGUGGGGACGACGUCAAAUCAUCACGGCCCUUACGCCUUGGGCCACACACGUAAUACAAUGGCCGGUACAGAGGGCAGCUACACAGCGAUGUGAUGCGAAUCUCGAAAGCCGGUCUCAGUUCGGAUUGGAGUCUGCAACUCGACUCUAUGAAGCUGGAAUCGCUAGUAAUCGCGCAUCAGCCAUGGCGCGGUGAAUACGUUCCCGGGUCUUGUACACACC
This 429-nucleotide ribosomal RNA is filed under the name uncultured bacterium. RNAcentral describes it as "bacterial SSU rRNA". It matches the Rfam family "Bacterial small subunit ribosomal RNA", at positions 957 to 1391 of the family's 1533-position model. The record is from RNAcentral.